CCUACGGGAGGCAGCAGUGGGGAAUCUUGCGCAAUGGGCGAAAGCCUGACGCAGCAACGCCGCGUGCGGGAAGAAGGCUCUCGGGUUGUAAACCGCUUUCAGCAGGAACGAAAAUGACGGUACUUGCAGAAGAAGGUGCGGCCAACUACGUGCCAGCAGCCGCGGUGACACGUAGGCACCAAGCGUUGUCCGGAUUUAUUGGGCGUAAAGAGCUCGUAGGCGGUUCGGUAAGUCAGGUGUGAAAACUUUGGGCUCAACCCAAAGCCUGCAUCUGAUACUGCUGUGACUAGAGUUCGGUAGGGGAGCGGGGAAUUCCUAGUGUAGCGGUGAAAUGCGCAGAUAUUAGGAGGAACACCGGUGGCGAAGGCGCCGCUCUGGGCCGAAACUGACGCUGAGGAGCGAAAGCGUGGGUAGCAAACAGGAUUAGAUACCCUGGUAGUCCACGCCGUAAACGUUGGGCACUAGGUGUGGGUUUCAACCAACGAAAUCCGCGCCGUCGCUAACGCAUUAAGUGCCCCGCCUGGGGAGGUACGGCCGCGAAGUAAACGUACAAGAAGUAGACGGCGUGAGACGNGCCGACGGACGACCGACGAGGGAGUAGG
Molecule: ribosomal RNA, 602 nt
Filed under: uncultured bacterium
Lineage: Bacteria
Description: bacterial SSU rRNA
Rfam family: Bacterial small subunit ribosomal RNA (bases 1-521)
Source: RNAcentral